CUUUACUCUAGUUUGGCACUGAGUCAUACAUAUAUUUGUGCAGGAUAGGUGGGAGGCUAUGAUGGUAGGACACUAGUUCUAUCAAAGCCAACAUUGAGAUACCACCCUUGUAUACAUAUGCCUCUAACCCACUUAUAGCAAGGACCAUGCUUGAUGGGGAGUUUAACUGGGGCAGUUGCCUCCUAAAAUGUAACAAAGGCACACAAAGGUAGGCUAGGUCCAAAUGGAAAUCAAACUGGUCAUGUAUUCACACAAGCCUGCUUGACUGAGAGACCUACAAGUCAAUCAGAGACAAAAGUCAAUGAAAGUGAUCCAGCACCAACACAUGGGAGUGGUGUCACUCAACAAAUAAAAGUUA
RNAcentral lists this ribosomal RNA (358 nucleotides) under uncultured organism. RNAcentral describes it as "bacterial LSU rRNA". It matches the Rfam family "Bacterial large subunit ribosomal RNA", at positions 2099 to 2465 of the family's 2925-position model. The record is from RNAcentral.